UUGAAAUAGCUACACACCUUUCUUGAAUCUCUCAAUGUUGAACUGAAGCCAAAGCCAUGUUUAUGAAUAACUGUACCUAGAGCAUAUAAGAAAAGAAAAACCAGUGGCCCUAGAACAAAGCCUUGUGGAACACUAAAUAUUUAUUUUGUACAGAUAGAGAAGCCUCCAUAAACAUUUACAAACCAAUAAAUGAUGGUCAGAUAAGACCAGAGCCAGGAAAGAACCAUUACUUUAAGCCCAACAAAAAAAAUGUCUGUUUAAAUGAUUAUUGAAGCAGCACUAAGCACAAGUAAUACAAACAAGUAGACACGACCCUGAUCAGAGGCCAGUAAUAGGUGAUUUACUACCUUAACCAGUACACAUUCUGUAUCGACUGAAAGUUUUCAUGCAUAUGCUUCCUAUGCAUGUAUCAGCUUAGCUGUUGAGGUACAACAUUUUUUAGAAUCUUAAAGACUAUGAGGAACUUAGAUAACGGCAUAUGGUUUGACAGCUGACAAAGUCAAGAUCAGCUCUCCUACAUUUGACUGUUAUUAUAACAACCACAACUGCAAAGUAGAUGUCUACUUUUGUGAUCAAAAAAAUUUACAGUUUCUGGAUCAUCCAUGUGCAUGCUACAAAUUGUGGCACCUUUCUGUCCAUCCAUCUCAGCCCUUUUCUCCCAUAAUUCCAGCAGUCUGGAGAGAGAAGGAUGACUGGAGCUUUUUCUUUCUCUGUUCCACUUUCUCUUCUUGCUUCUUUCUCACACUCGCUGUUUGUUAGAGGUUCUAGUUGGCUGAAAGUGAGUUACAUAAAAAGGACUGAUCCAAGAAAUGAUAGAACGAACAAAAAGAAUGAGAAAAUUGACAUCACAUGUAAUUGUGUGGUGACACAGAAAUUAGGAAGAUGAUACAGUGCUUUGUCCUGAAUAAGAAAGAAAAUCAUUUUUGGUUGAGAUUAGACAUACGUUUAGGCACAAACACUUACUGAAGGACAGGGUUUGUUAGGAAUGUAGGUUGAGGGACUGGAGAGGACAGGUGCAGUUGCUAAGGACUGGACCAACAGGAAGAAAAUCUACUGCCCGUACAUAGUAUGUACUUUAGCCUGGCAGUCACAGUCUGACACCACAUCAUCAGUGUGAGUGAAAUCUAACUUAGUAGUCCAUUCCGUAUCUAGGAGCCCUUGCAGAAUUAAGUCUUUGGGUCAAAUUUGCCACAGAGAAAGUUAAUAUAUAAAUCUUGUAUGUUGUUGAUAUCAGUGUUCCUGUUAUUGAAGUAUCGAAGUAAGGAAGGAGCAUUCAUCAUAUGCUUAGAGUAACAUGAGCACUGACAGAAACCCUUUUAAACCCCUGGGCUUCGUAGUAUAAUUGCUAGCAAAAAGAGGUCAUCAAGAACCAGGAAGGAGCAAGAGGGAUCCAGGAGGAAACAAUGGCAUAUUGAUUACCAAGGCAAUUUGCAACUCCUAUUCACAUUAAAAGGCAACACGCUGCCUCUAGUUUAUCUUUUGUGAACGUGCACUACGCAGCGUUUUGUGUGUCGCAUAAACGGGAUUUCACUGAGUUUUUUUGUGAUUGUUGCAGCCAAAAAACGCUCAAUUUCGCUACGUCUUUUUGAAAAAUUUGCAGUGCACCUUGCGGCGUUUUGGUGCUUUGCAGCGGAAAACUACUUGAACUGCCGAAAUUGCAGGUGCAUGAAAUUGUUUUGCACGAUCUUUCGCAAUGAAGUUUGUCGGUAAAUGAGACUUUUUGAAUGUAUUCAUGUUUGACACACGUGAAUUGAAGAGGGCUUUGGCUGAAUGCGCGUUGUGAUGAUGUCACAUGACGUGUCCUGGCCCAAAUCUGCAGAAAAUCUGCGGUAAUUUAGAAAAAUCGCAAGUUCCUCUGAAUAGUGCGGAAUUUGCUUGAUUCGCGUUAAUUUCUGCCAUCACAAAAUCGCAUAAUCCUGGAGGGACUGAAUAGGAGGUGCUAGUCGCCAAAUGCACCAGGUACUGCACUAUUUAUAAUUUACUGUUACUUUCGUUUAAAGUCCAUCUUCAUGUGGUUCCUAUUUCCGUUCCUGUGAGCUAAAUUCUUUAAAAUCUGGAUCCAAAAAAUCAAAUCCAGAAUUAUUUGUAUCCUUCAAGAGAAAUUUCCACAAAUCUGGGAUAUACUAACCUUUCCUCUAACAAUGUUUGCUGACUUAUAAAAGUGUUUUGUUCAUUGUAAUAAAGACGCCUAGUAGCUAUACAAAGAAAUGUGAUUUGUUGCAAUUCAGUAUUUUAAUUAUGUGACAUACCUACCAUCAGUAUAAAACUAGAAGAGAUUCGCUAUCAAUAAACCUCUAUAUGUAAGGUACAAUUGUUAUAUACAGUUCUUAAACACACCAGUGUAGUUCAGUUGUACAAAGUAAACAAUAUGAACUAUAAAGAACUAUCAUGUAUUUUCUAGUAACCUCAUAGACACUAAAUAUUACUCAUACUGGUGUCUUCGCAGUUCCCAAGUUCUGACCCUCAACCCUGAAACACUCUGUCCUCCUCUGUGUGACACCAGAUGGUGUAAUACAGUCAGUGAUAACUAAUGAGUCCCUUUUUACUCUGAGAGAAAGCCAUUCUGCACUGACAAGCGAUGCAUUUAUGUCCAGUUAUAAAUUACAGAGCUGAACAAAAACAGAAUUAGAGACAAAGAUAUCUCCAUUAAAGACAUCUCCCUAGUCAGGAUACAGAAGACGCAGUACCAGUAUAUAUACACCAGACAAACAUUCCAUCCAGAGGACACCUUUUUUUAAUUAGUUAAGAUUUAAAAAGGUAAAAUUGAUAAACGCACCAUUGUAUUUCAGUUUAACACAAUAAACAAUAUGAACUAUAACAAACGAGCCUGUAUUUCCUGGUAAUCUCAUAUUUUUACUCGAAUUAUUUGUUAACAGGAAUGUUAAACAUUUUUGCUUUUCUUACAAAGACUGUGUUGGGACACCUUUGGGUCACUGCAAUCUUUUUCUGAAUAAAGGCAGACAAAACACAUAAUUAUAUUGUAUACUAAGGAGGAAACCAGGGUACCUGGAGGAAACCCCUGAAGCACAGGGAGUGCAUGCAGGCUCCGCACACACAGGGCAGAGGCGUGAUUCAAGCCCCCAUCCCCGAAGGACUGUCACGAUUCGAGGUCGAGCCAGAAGCAGG
Ictalurus furcatus (blue catfish) is the source of this 3126-nucleotide long non-coding RNA. RefSeq lists it as uncharacterized. The transcript is spliced from 5 exons. The record is from RefSeq and is a predicted model, not a curated record. Lineage: Eukaryota; Metazoa; Chordata; Actinopteri; Siluriformes; Ictaluridae.